RNAcentral lists this ribosomal RNA (440 nucleotides) under uncultured bacterium. Its description in RNAcentral is "bacterial SSU rRNA". It matches the Rfam family "Bacterial small subunit ribosomal RNA", at positions 338 to 788 of the family's 1533-position model. The record is from RNAcentral.
CCUACGGGGGGCUGCAGUCGAGGAUCUUCGGCAAUGGGCGCAAGCCUGACCGAGCGACGCCGCGUGUGCGAUGAAGGCCUUCGGGUUGUAAAGCACUGUCGAGGGGGAGAAAGGGGCAACCUUGAUCGACCCCUGGAGGAAGCACGGGCUAAGUUCGUGCCAGCAGCCGCGGUAAGACGAACCGUGCGAACGUUGUUCGGAAUCACUGGGCUUAAAGGGCGCGUAGGCGGGCCGCACAGUCAGGGGUGAAAUCCUCCAGCUCAACUGGAGAAGUGCCUCUGAUACUGGCGGCCUCGAGGGGUGCAGGGGCGUGCGGAACUUCGGGUGGAGCGGUGAAAUGCGUAGAUAUCCGAAGGAACACCGGUGGCGAAGGCGGCACGCUGGACACCUUCUGACGCUGAGGCGCGAAAGCCAGGGGAGCAAACGGGAUUAGAUACCCU